RNAcentral lists this long non-coding RNA (1057 nucleotides) under Mytilus galloprovincialis (Mediterranean mussel). The record is from RNAcentral. Lineage: Eukaryota; Metazoa; Mollusca; Bivalvia; Mytilida; Mytilidae.
AACAAUUUCAGUAUAAAUUAUUGCACAAAAUUUCACCUAACUGCAAAUACAUGUUAUAUAAAUAAGUGACUAAAAGGGAAAAAAGCAAAUAUUCCUUCUGUUAUAAUAAAGAGAACACGACAAAACAUUUGUUCUAUGAUUGUAAUGUUACUUAUAUUUUUCUUUUUACACAAAAGCUGGUCACACGAUACAACAAAAGUUAUUAACGGACCUUGACUAGCUAUACAGCCCUCACACGGUCGGUAAAAGGUCACAGGAUGACCUAUUUAGCAUGAAUUAAAAAGAAAUUGUGUUAGGAUUGAGGACUAAAUGUGUAUUUAUAAAUUUGUUAAUUAUUAUAUCUCAAAACUACUUCUUCAAAUGUAAGUUAAGAAAUAUGCAUGUAGCUACUAGUAUAAUAUACUACAAUCUAGAAUAAAACAAUACCAAUCUAAUAAAUGUUAUAUUGUAAACCAAAAAAAUGAGGCAAAUGUUUAUUGAAGAUCUGGUUUCCAUUACAUAAAUAUAUUCGUGAUUUAUUAUUUUUUGUAUUUUUAUUUAUACUUCAUGUAAGCUACAUGUAGUGAGCAGUUGAUAUUUGUAUUUAUCGUAUGAGGCCAAAUAAAAAUAUAUGUAUGGUUCUAGUAACCCUACCGUCCCUACCUUUCCGGCUUAAAAAUAGCCUACCCUAAAGAUUUUAUUGUCAUUUUUCAUUAAGCACUGUUAAAGUCAGAAUGUUGGUCCUAUAGACUCAAUGUGAAAAAAAAAACAUAAAAUAAAAAAAAAUCCUUACCUACCUACCCUAACUUUUUUUCAGAUGUAACUGGAACCACACAUACUUUUUUAUUUGGCCAUGUAUUUGCGUGCAUACUAAUAGUAAGAUUGCAGUGAUUAUGUUUAAUAGUGAGUUGUUGAUUUUUUCAAGUAUGUUCUUGUUUAAUUCACAGGAAUUUUAAAAAGAGAAAAAUGGAUAGUCUUAAUCUUGUCAUAUCAUUUAUAAGACUUACCCACAAAAACUGGUGUGGUGGUGAUAAUUAGUGGUUUGUAUUAUUAAUCUGUAACAAAUAAAAGAUUUUUU